UAACCACUCAAGCCUGGCUUGGUGUUGGGGUACGCGGUCCCGCGGCUCCUAAAAUCAGUGGCGGUGCCAUCUGGCUCUAAGCGUAGUAACUUUAACCUCGCUAUGGAGUUCCGGUGGAUGCUUGCCAGAACCCCCCAAUCUCAC
This 144-nucleotide unclassified non-coding RNA is filed under the name uncultured Helotiales. Its description in RNAcentral is "sequence contains ITS2". Lineage: Eukaryota; Fungi; Ascomycota; Leotiomycetes; Helotiales. The record is from RNAcentral.